Molecule: ribosomal RNA, 490 nt
Filed under: uncultured bacterium
Lineage: Bacteria
Description: partial 16S ribosomal RNA
Rfam family: Bacterial small subunit ribosomal RNA
Source: RNAcentral
AUUGAACGCUGGCGGCAUGCUUUACACAUGCAAGUCGGACGGCAGCACAGAGAAGCUUGCUUCUUGGGUGGCGAGUGGCGAACGGGUGAGUAAUAUAUCGGAACGUACCGAGUAAUGGGGGAUAACUAAUCGAAAGAUUAGCUAAUACCGCAUAUUCUCUGAGGAGGAAAGCAGGGGACCUUCGGGCCUUGCGUUAUUCGAGCGGCCGAUAUCUGAUUAGCUAGUUGGUGGGGUAAAGGCCUACCAAGGCGACGAUCAGUAGCGGGUCUGAGAGGAUGAUCCGCCACACUGGGACUGAGACACGGCCCAGACUCCUACGGGAGGCAGCAGUGGGGAAUUUUGGACAAUGGGCGCAAGCCUGAUCCAGCCAUGCCGCGAGUCUGAAGAAGGCCUUCGGGUUGUAAAGGACUUUUGUCAGGGAAGAAAAGGCUGUUGCUAAUAUCGACAGCUGAUGACGGUACCUGAAGAAUAAGCACCGGCUAACUACGUG